GGACCUUAUUGACUAUGUAGACUAAUGUAGUAAUGUUCUUAUCUUAUCUUUCCCAAUUUGCAAGACAAGUCCUUAGGAAAAAUUAUUGUCUUUGUCAAAUAUGAUUUCAGUUACACAACACCUUCAAAUCUCACGAGUAUACAUGGUUCAAACCUUUUCGAACUUACGUCAACUUAGGAUAUCUCUACAAAUUUACGUCCAACAUUCUCGAACAUGGAAACCCUUACAAAUUUACGCCAUGAAACUGGGAAACCUUUACAAAUUUACACAUAAAAUCUGAAAAUUCUUACAAAUUUACGUCACAAAAUCUGGAAAUUUGGAAAUCCUUACAAAUUUUCUUACAAAUUUACGUCACAUAAUCUGGAAUUUGGAAAUCCUUACAAAUUUACGCCUUGAAACAGAGAAAUCUCAACAAAUUUACACCCUGAAAACUGUAAACCCUUUGAAAUUAUAUUUUACAAAUCGACUUCAAUUUCUCUAUCAAGAAAAAAUCAAACGAUGGAAUGAACCAAUGUUCAUUAAAGAAGGAUUUACUUCUCAAAUUACUAGAUUAUAGAAUAAGAAAUAGUUUAAACUACAAUGAGGAAAUAACCAAAAGAAUUCACAGAGAAAUCUCAAAACUAACAGAGAACAAAUGAAGAAUCAUAAGAUAACAUAUUUAACACAAAUCACAUGAAUGAUCCAUACAUGUUUGCUUUCAUUUCACAAGAUUCUUCACGACCUUUGAGCUCCAUAUGAUUUCCACUACUGAUCGCAACUUCUAUUUCCCACCCUCCACGCAUUCAUCACUUCUUAACCCUUCUUUUACUAUAUCAAAUUUACGCCAUGAAAUAGGGAGAUCCAUAUAUAUUUUUCUUUCUUGUGAAAAGAUUCUUCACUGCCUUUAAACUCCAGAUGAUCUCCACUGUUGAUCGUAACUUCUAUUCUCCACCCUCCACGUGUCCAUCACUUCUUAACCCUUCUUUUUCUAUAUCAAUUUACGGCAUGAAAUAAUGAGAUCCAUAUAUUUUUUUCUUUCUUUCACAAGAUUCUUCACUGCCUUUGAGCUCCAGAUGAUCUCCACUGUUGAUCGUAACUUCUAUUCUCCACCCUCCACGUGUCCAUCACCUCUUAACCCUUAUUUUUCUAUAUCAAUUUACGCCAUGAAAUAGGGAGAUCUAUAUGUUUUUUUUUCUUUCAUUCACAAGAUUCUUCACUGCCUUUGAGCUCCAUAUGAUCUCCACUGUUGAUCGUAACUUCUAUUCUCCACCCUCCACGUGUCCAUCACUUCUUAACCCUUAUUUUUCUAUAUCAAUUUACGCCAUGAAAUACGGAGAUCCAUAUACUUUUUUUUCUUUCACAAGAUUUUUCACUGCUUUUGAGCUACAGAUGAUCUCCACUGUUGAUCGUAACUUCUAUUCUCCACCCUCCACGUGUCCAUUACUUCUUAACCCUUAUUUUUCUAUAUCAAUUUACGCCAUGAAAUAGGGAGAUCCAUAUAUUUUUUCUUUCUUUCACAAGAUUCUUCACUGCCUUUGAGCUCCAUAUGAUCUCGACUAUUGAUCGUAACUUCUAUUCUCCACCCUCCACCCUCCACGUGUCCUUUACUUCUUAACCCUUAUUUUUCUAUAUCAAUUUACGCCAUGAAAUAGGGAGAUCCAUAUAUUUUUUUCUUUCUUUCACAAGAUUCUUCACUAUCUGUGAGCUCCAGAUGAUCUCCACUAUUAAUCGUAACUUCUAUUUUCCACCCUCCACGUGUCCAUCACUUCUUAACCCUUCUUUUUCUAUAUCAAUUUAUGCCAUGAAAUAAGGAGAUCCAUAUAUAUUUUUUCUUUUUUUCACAAAAUUCUUCACUGCAUUUGAGCUUUAGAUGAUCUCCACUGUUGAUCGUAACUUCUAU
This 1879-nucleotide long non-coding RNA is filed under the name Capsella rubella. Its description in RNAcentral is "long non-coding RNA (CRUB_LNC003767)". Lineage: Eukaryota; Viridiplantae; Streptophyta; Magnoliopsida; Brassicales; Brassicaceae. The record is from RNAcentral.